ACGAACGCUGGCGGCGUGCUUCACACAUGCAAGUCGAACGGAAAGGCCCUGCUUGCAGGGUACUCGAGUGGCGAACGGGUGAGUAACACGUGGGUGAUCUGCCCUGCACUUCGGGAUAAGCCUGGGAAACUGGGUCUAAUACCGGAUAGGAGCCAUUUUUAGUGUGAUGGUUGGAAAGUUUUUUCGGUGUAGGUUGAGCUCGCGGCCUAUCAGCUUGUUGGUGGGGUAAUGGCCUACCAAGGCGGCGACGGGUAGCCGGCCUGAGAGGGUGGACGGCCACAUUGGGACUGAGAUACGGCCCAGACUCCUACGGGAGGCAGCAGUGGGGAAUAUUGCACAAUGGGCGCAAGUCUGAUGCAGCGACGCCGCGUGGGGGAUGACGGCCUUCGGGUUGUAAACUCCUUUCGCUAGGGACGAAGCUUUUUGUGACGGUACCUAGAUAAGAAGCACCGGCUAACUACGUG
Molecule: ribosomal RNA, 464 nt
Filed under: uncultured bacterium
Lineage: Bacteria
Description: partial 16S ribosomal RNA
Rfam family: Bacterial small subunit ribosomal RNA
Source: RNAcentral